AGGACGAACGCUGGCGGCGUGCUUAACACAUGCAAGUCGAGCGGAAAGGCCCUUCGGGGUACUCGAGCGGCGAACGGGUGAGUAACACGUGAGCAACCUGCCCUUAGCUUCGGGAUAGCUCCGGGAAACCGGAAUUAAAUACCGAAUAUGACUGCGGCUGACAUCAGCCACGGUGGAAAGUUUUUCGGCUAGGGAUGGACUCGCGGCCUAUCAGCUAGUUGGUGAGGUAACGGCCCACCAAGGCGACGACGGGUAGCC
Molecule: ribosomal RNA, 258 nt
Filed under: uncultured bacterium
Lineage: Bacteria
Description: partial small subunit ribosomal RNA
Rfam family: Bacterial small subunit ribosomal RNA
Source: RNAcentral